Molecule: long non-coding RNA, 395 nt
Filed under: Homo sapiens (human)
Lineage: Eukaryota; Metazoa; Chordata; Mammalia; Primates; Hominidae
Description: HSALNT0192694
Source: RNAcentral
GUGGAUUAUAAGCCAGUAUUAAUGAACACUUUACAAUUAGUUUAAGAGACAAAUAUAUAAAUAAAUAACUGAAGGCAGCAUAUAAUAAAUUGGUACAAAGUUUUUGGGUGAGAGAUCACACUGUAGGGAUGUGGCAUUUAAGAUAGAUUUUGGUAUGAAAUGAGAACUUCGAGGUGGGGAAACCACAGCAGAGGAAAGGAGAUGAGAAUAUGCAGUGAAGAGGCAGCUUCCAGUCUUUCAUCCAUUAAGGUUUAGGUACUGAUAAAACAUCUGGGUAGAAUUUUUCAGCAGUGAUGGAAAGCUUUGAAAAACAAAACAGAAGAUGUGGAUUUGGGAAUUACCUCCCUAGAAGCAGGAAGAGAUGGCAUCAUCAAGGGAGAGGAGUAUAGAGAGGC